CAGUAGCCACGGUAAUACGAAGGGGGCUAGCGUUGUUCGGAAUUACUGGGCGUAAAGCGCACGUAGGCGGAUAUUUAAGUCAGGGGUGAAAUCCCGCAGCUCAACUGCGGAACUGCCUUUGAUACUGGGUAUCUUGAGUAUGGAAGAGGUUAGUGGAAUUGCGAGUGUAGAGGUGAAAUUCGUAGAUAUUCGCAGGAACACCAGUGGCGAAGGCGGCUAACUGGUCCAUAACUGACGCUGAGGUGCGAAAGCGUGGGGAGCAAACAGGAUUAGAUACCCCGGUAGUCCCUGUCUCUUAUAC
This 301-nucleotide ribosomal RNA is filed under the name uncultured bacterium. RNAcentral's name for it is "partial 16S ribosomal RNA". It matches the Rfam family "Bacterial small subunit ribosomal RNA", at positions 509 to 807 of the family's 1533-position model. The record is from RNAcentral.